Molecule: ribosomal RNA, 306 nt
Filed under: uncultured bacterium
Lineage: Bacteria
Description: partial 16S ribosomal RNA
Rfam family: Bacterial small subunit ribosomal RNA
Source: RNAcentral
GACAGCAGCCGCCGCGGUAACACGUAGGUGGCAAGCGUUAUCCGGAAUUAUUGGGCGUAAAGCGCGCGUAGGCGGUUUCUUAAGUCUGAUGUGAAAGCCCACGGCUCAACCGUGGAGGGUCAUUGGAAACUGGGAAACUUGAGUGCAGAAGAGGAAAGUGGAAUUCCAUGUGUAGCGGUGAAAUGCGCAGAGAUAUGGAGGAACACCAGUGGCGAAGGCGACUUUCUGGUCUGUAACUGACGCUGAUGUGCGAAAGCGUGGGGAUCAAACAGGAUUAGAGACCCGAGUAGUCCCUGUCUCUUAUAC